GUUUAUUUCGUGCUAUAAACUCCAUUAAAAUCAAUAAUAAAACACUAACAAACUCAGUUUAAACCUAUACACGAAUUCAGUCAAAAUCUAUGUGGAGUUUAUAAAAUUCAGUCAAACUCAAUUAAAUUUCAAUUAAACUCCAUCAACUUUAAAACUCUUUUAAAAUCAUUUAAAAUCUAAAAUUGUAUUAAAUUGAAUCUCUCAAAAGUAUUUCCCAAAUCUCUUAACAAAUAUAGAAUAUGUCAACGGCGUGACAAAUUGUAUUUAUAGUCGACAUACCCACCCAGGCCAGUGGCUGAGAAUUCCCAUUGUGAUUCAAAUCCAAAUCAACAAGAUCUGAAAACAAGAUGACCAGACUGGGCCACAGCCACAUUAAACCGUUGACAACUGCGUUUACUUGAGCUGUCACCAUUUCAUCUCCAUAAGACUACAAAGACUUCACAGCUUUGAAUUUUCUUUCAAUUAAGAUUGUUAUUAUUUCUUCAAUUUUUCCAUUUUUAAUUAGAAAUUUAAUUUUCCAAUUGAAGAGAAACAAGAUUCCCAGAUAGCCCAAUUUCCAUCCACCCAGUUGGCCUCCAUUUUAUCAUAUGAGAAAAGCCCCAUCAUAAUCCGCAGUUCGUCCUAGGGGUGGGCACGGUUCGGUUUGGACCGGUUUUUGCCUAAAAUUAGAACCGAUCCGGUACUAUUCAUCCGGUUUGGUUCGGUUCGGUUUUAAUAAAAAAAAUUUCAAAAACUGUCCGGUUCGGUUUGAACCGGUUUCGAUCCGGUUCCGGUUUCGGUUCGGUUUUGAACCGGAUUAUAAAAAUUAUUUUUUUAAAUUAUUUUUUAAUACAAUUCUCAACUGAAAUAUUAUUUUUUUACUUGAAAAUUAACAAAUUACUCAAUUUCAUAUAAAAAAUAAAUAUUAAAGUAAGAAAAGAGAGAUAUUUUGACAUUGAACUUGAAUAAAUAUUAGGUUUUUUUUAGUGAAAUUAAAAAUAUAGCAUUAAAUAUAAAUAUAUAUUGAAAUUAUAUAUUUUUUUAGUUUCACCGGUUCGGUUCGGCCCGGUUCGGUUUUUGAAGACAUGGAACCGGAUCCGGAACCGGUCCAAACCAGUCCGGUUCGGUUUUUGACCGGUUUUUGACUUUUUGGUCAACUCGGUUUUUUUCCGGUUUGGUUCGGUACGGUUCGGCUCGGAUUUCCGGUUUGCCGGUUUGAGUGCCCACCCCUAGUUCGUCCCUCUGUACACUACCAAAAUUAUUUUCACUACAACUUAAAAAGGCCCCAAAUAAAAAAAGGAAAUUGACGGAAAUUUAAUUAACAGAAUUCAUGCUGCUUUUGGGCUAAUUCCAAGCUUUUGGUUCC
Molecule: long non-coding RNA, 1345 nt
Filed under: Prunus persica (peach)
Lineage: Eukaryota; Viridiplantae; Streptophyta; Magnoliopsida; Rosales; Rosaceae
Description: long non-coding RNA (PPER_LNC001452)
Source: RNAcentral